CGUGCACGCCCGAGCGCUCUCGCACAAAAUCCAUCUCACCCCUUUGUGCAUCACCGCGCGGGUCCCCCCUUUGCAGGAGGGCUCACGUUUUCACACAAAAUUUGAUACAGUCUAGAAUGUUUUGUUUUUGCGGUCACACGCAAUCAAUACAACUUUCAACAACGGAUCUCUUGGCUCUCGCAUCGAUGAAGAACGCAGCGAAAUGCGAUACGUAAUGUGAAUUGCAGAAUUCAGUGAAUCAUCGAAUCUUUGAACGCACCUUGCGCCCCUUGGCAUUCCGAGGGGCACACCCGUUUGAGUGUCGUGAAAUCCUCAAAACCCCCUUUUCUUUCAUCGGAACGGGGAUUUUGGACUUGGAGGUUCAAUGCUUGCUUUUGCUUUCAAAGGCGAGCUCCUCUUAAAUGAAUCAGUGGGGUCCGCUUUGCUGAUCCUUGACGUGAUAAUAUGUUUCUACGUUUUGGAUCUGGCACUGUUUUCUCCGCUCCUAAUCGUCUCAUUGACAAUGAUGGUGCUUCGGUCCCCUGCCAUCUACGUUGGCGGGAGGCUGGACCCACAAAAAUAAAACCUUGACCUCAAAUCGGGUGAGACUACCCGCUGAACUUAAGCAUAUCAAUAAGCGGAGGAAAAGAAACUAACAAGGAUUCCCCUAGUAACUGCGAGUGAAGCGGGAAAAGCUCAAAUUUAAAAUCUGGUGGUCUUUGGCCGUCCGAGUUGUAAUUUANAGAAGCGUUUUCCGCGCUGGACCGUGUACAA
RNAcentral lists this ribosomal RNA (753 nucleotides) under uncultured fungus. RNAcentral describes it as "eukaryotic LSU rRNA". The stretch from base 151 to 304 matches the Rfam family "5.8S ribosomal RNA". The record is from RNAcentral. RNAcentral also lists the same sequence under 1 other name. Lineage: Eukaryota; Fungi.